Molecule: small RNA, 28 nt
Filed under: Hordeum vulgare subsp. vulgare (domesticated barley)
Lineage: Eukaryota; Viridiplantae; Streptophyta; Magnoliopsida; Poales; Poaceae
Source: RNAcentral
ACAAUUAAAACAUUUUGCAAGAACUGAU